GCUGGCGGCGCGGAGUCCGGGCGGCCGCGAGGCCGCGCGGGCGGCGGGCGUGUGUCGGCUCUCGCCGGAAGUUGCUAGGAGAUGGAACCGGAAGUCCCGCCCCUCUCCAAAGAGAGGAAAACGGAAAGCCGAAGAAGUCAAUCUAAAGAAGGGGAGACGCGUCCGGCUGGAAGGCUGGCGGUGUCUGAGGCGGAGGGCCGAGUGGGGUUUGCGGAGAGUCCCCAAGCGGAUUCCUCCGGACAGUCCGCCCCUUCCGUGCCCCAUGCCUCCUCACCCUACCCCGUCCCCCGCCCGCCCGCCGUAGAGGACCCCGAGGGCGGCGCGGGAGCGCAGAGGGCGGCGCGGGGCGAGCGGCCGCUGCCCUGGGCCUUCCGGGGCCCGAACGGUGCCCGGCGCUUCUAGGCGCCCGUCUACGGGGACCCGCUUUCUCUGCUGGGCCAGGCGCGUGCGCAACCCCAGAUGUUGAGGACAGUCUGUCGGUGGACUCCAAGAAAGGAUCCUCGGAGUCACGGGCCGCAGGGAGCCACGAGCCGAGUUCCGAUACUAAAAGGGAGGCAGAGCAGCCGAGUGUGGUGGUCGGCCAGUUUGGCAAUAAAAGCCGAAAACGCCCUGGGUGUUUAAAAAGCCCCCGCCGGACCGUUUUUAUAACGGUAGCGACGCAGCGCAAGAAUUGUUAGGAAGAAAGUAAGGCACGACCGAGGCGUGGUCGUCCCCGCCGCCGCCUGCCCCUCUUGGCGGGAGCAUCCGCGGACCUGAAGCUUACAGCCCUUCUCCGGAAACUCGAGAUCCAGGAAGGAAGACCGCGGCUUGCAAAGUGCUCUGACGGACACCUAUAUAGAGAUGAGCGGCGACAUCCCACUUGCGAUCAGCUUGAGACACCGCUUGCUCAGCAGUUUUGACUUUAUCUUGUAGGUAUAGGGAAAGCUCUUAAACAAUUGGAUUUGUAUAAUUUUAGGUAAACGGAGUUUUUAAAGGAUGGUCCUUUAAUAAUGAUGGUAGGCUUUCUAAACCAAACCCACCUCUCAAGGCCAGUUCCAGCUCAACGCUAUUUAAGUCAAUAUACAGGUGAUAAUCACGUUUUAUAUACUGGUUUACAGAGUACUUUUCGUAGACAUUAUCUGGUCGAAUUUUUACUGUAAUCCACAUGAAUUCUCAUGUCCGUCACCCACAACAGGAAGUUGUAACUUAGAAGAGUCAAAUAACUGUUCCAAGAUCACACAGCUAGUAAAGGUGGAACUCACUUUCCAAACUCCAGAGUCAACCUUUUCCAGUCCACCGGGCAUCUUUUAAUGAACAGCUAGUUCAAGAGUGUUAGUCUUGGAUGAGAAGGUGAUGAAUUUCUCAACACUUAAGAGUAGCUAGCACCGUAUUCCAUGUUGAAGAGGCAUUCUGUUGAUUUGUAGGAGAUUGAUCUUGCUACCUUUCUUACCCUGGGAACUGAGUUAACAUUUCAUCUUCCUUCUUUGAGCAGCGAAAUAAAAUCUGAGUUUAUUUUUCAGUUCCCCAUCGUGCAGUAUUUUACUGAGACAGGACCUUUGCAUCAUACAGUGACCUUAAGGAAGUCAACCUGACUUACUCGUGUAUAAAAUUAGUCAUUUAGGGUAAAGUUCCUGCCUUUCGUCAUUCUGUUAAUAUAAAUAGAAGCGGUUCUAAAUUUUCUGAGCCACAGUAAUAGUGUCUAAUACUGUUACUCUCAUUAAAACAUUUAAAAGACUGUGUCCCAUUAGAUAAUACUAACAGCGGUGAUAGCUGUGGUUUAUUAAGCACCUACUACGUGUCAUGCAAUGCUCAAGAGAAUCCAAGAAUAUAGGAAAAAUUUGUUUUUCUGUGUCUCUAGGAAAAUUUAUAUAUAAUAUGUAUAUCCUUUAUAUAUAUACAGAUUUUAUAUAAAAUAAAGCUCCUUUGGAGCUUCUUUAAGACA
This is a long non-coding RNA of Balaenoptera ricei (Rice's whale), 1921 nucleotides long. RefSeq lists it as uncharacterized. NCBI's taxonomy places the organism in Eukaryota, Metazoa, Chordata, Mammalia, Artiodactyla, Balaenopteridae. The record is from RefSeq and is a predicted model, not a curated record. The transcript is spliced from 2 exons.